AUUGAACGCUGGCGGCAUGCCUUACACAUGCAAGUCGAACGGUAACAGGUUAAGCUGACGAGUGGCGAACGGGUGAGUAAUGUAUCGGAACGUGCCCAGUCGUGGGGGAUAACUGCUCGAAAGAGCAGCUAAUACCGCAUACGACCUGAGGGUGAAAGCGGGGGAUCGCAAGACCUCGCGCGAUUGGAGCGGCCGAUAUCAGAUUAGGUAGUUGGUGAGGUAAAGGCUCACCAAGCCGACGAUCUGUAGCUGGUCUGAGAGGACGACCAGCCACACUGGGACUGAGACACGGCCCAGACUCCUACGGGAGGCAGCAGUGGGGAAUUUUGGACAAUGGGCGCAAGCCUGAUCCAGCCAUGCCGCGUGCGGGAAGAAGGCCUUCGGGUUGUAAACCGCUUUUGUCAGGGAAGAAAAGGUUCUGGCUAAUACCUGGGACUCAUGACGGUACCUGAAGAAUAAGCACUGGCUAACUACGUG
Molecule: ribosomal RNA, 477 nt
Filed under: uncultured bacterium
Lineage: Bacteria
Description: partial 16S ribosomal RNA
Rfam family: Bacterial small subunit ribosomal RNA
Source: RNAcentral